This 460-nucleotide ribosomal RNA is filed under the name uncultured bacterium. RNAcentral describes it as "partial 16S ribosomal RNA". It matches the Rfam family "Bacterial small subunit ribosomal RNA", at positions 338 to 795 of the family's 1533-position model. The record is from RNAcentral.
CCUACGGGAGGCAGCAGUGAGGAAUAUUGGUCAAUGGACGAGAGUCUGAACCAGCCAAGUAGCGUGAAGGAUGACUGCCCUAUGGGUUGUAAACUUCUUUUAUAUGGGAAUAAAAUGUUCCACGUGUGGGCUUUUGUAUGUACCAUAUGAAUAAGGAUCGGCUAACUCCGUGCCAGCAGCCGCGGUAAUACGGAGGAUCCGAGCGUUAUCCGGAUUUAUUGGGUUUAAAGGGAGCGUAGGUGGAUUGUUAAGUCAGUUGUGAAAGUUUGCGGCUCAACCGUAAAAUUGCAGUUGAAACUGGCAGUCUUGAGUACAGUAGAGGUGUGCGGAAUGCGUGGUGUAGCGGUGAAAUGCUUAGAUAUCACGAAGAACUCCGAUUGCGAAGGCAGCUCACUGGACUGCAACUGACACUGAGGCUCGAAAGUGUGGGUAUCAAACAGGAUUAGAUACCCUUGUAGUC